Molecule: long non-coding RNA, 165 nt
Organism: Neotoma lepida (desert woodrat)
Lineage: Eukaryota; Metazoa; Chordata; Mammalia; Rodentia; Cricetidae
Rfam family: ST7 overlapping transcript 4 conserved region 2
Source: Rfam
GNAUGGUCUCGGUGGGAGGCAGAUUGUGCACAUAGAAUCAUCUCGCUCUUCUAUAGGAGAUGCUCAGCUUUUUUGGCUNUGAUUAUUACAAACAUCUUGCUUUUUUGGCCUUUUAUCUGUUAGCAUGGCUACUUGUCNAAUUUUGCUUUCCUUGCUUUAGGGCAG